GGUUAAGCGACUAAGCGUACACGGUGGAUGCCCUGGCAGUCAGAGGCGAUGAAGGGCGUGCUAAUCUGCGAUAAGCGCCGGUAAGGUGAUAUGAACCGUUAUAACCGGCGAUACCCGAAUGGGGAAACCCAGUGUGACUCGUCACACUAUCAUUAACUGAAUCCAUAGGUUAAUGAGGCGAACCGGGGGAACUGAAACAUCUAAGUACCCCGAGGAAAAGAAAUCAACCGAGAUUCCCCCAGUAGCGGCGAGCGAACGGGGAGGAGCCCAGAGCCUGAAUCAGCAUGUGUGUUAGUGGAAGCGUCUGGAAAGGCGCGCGAUACAGGGUGACAGCCCCGUACACAAAAGCGCAUGUGCUGUGAGCUCGAUGAGUAGGGCGGGACACGUGGUAUCCUGUCUGAAUAUGGGGGGACCAUCCUCCAAGGCUAAAUACUCCUGACUGACCGAUAGUGAACCAGUACCGUGAGGGAAAGGCGAAAAGAACCCCGGCGAGGGGAGUGAAAAAGAACCUGAAACCGUGUACGUACAAGCAGUGGGAGCCCCACCACCAAAGCAUUUGCUGUACCGCGUUGACGGAGCGAAGCGACGUCAAACCGAUAAAACAGCAGUGUAAAGUGAGCCGCAGGGCGCUUUGCGCGACAGCGCAAAGGCAGGCGGUUUCGCGUAGCGAAAGCGAAUGCUUUGGGGUGGGGUGACUGCGUACCUUUUGUAUAAUGGGUCAGCGACUUAUAUUCUGUAGCAAGGUUAACCGAAUAGGGGAGCCGGAGGGAAACCGAGUCUUAAUUGGGCGUUAAGUUGCAGGGUAUAGACCCGAAACCCGGUGAUCUAGCCAUGGGCAGGUUGAAGGUUGGGUAACACUAACUGGAGGACCGAACCGACUAAUGUUGAAAAAUUAGCGGAUGACCUGUGGCUGGGGGUGAAAGGCCAAUCAAACCGGGAGAUAGCUGGUUCUCCCCGAAAGCUAUUUAGGUAGCGCCUCGUGAAUUCAUCUCCGGGGGUAGAGCACUGUUUCGGCUAGGGGGCCAUCCCGGCUUACCAACCCGAUGCAAACUGCGAAUACCGGAGAAUGUUAUCACGGGAGACACACGGCGGGUGCUAACGUCCGUCGUGAAGAGGGAAACAACCCAGACCGCCAGCUAAGGUCCCAAAGUCAUGGUUAAGUGGGAAACGAUGUGGGAAGGCCCAGACAGCCAGGAUGUUGGCUUAGAAGCAGCCAUCAUUUAAAGAAAGCGUAAUAGCUCACUGGUCGAGUCGGCCUGCGCGGAAGAUGUAACGGGGCUAAACCAUGCACCGAAGCUGCGGCAGCGACACUGUGUGUUGUUGGGUAGGGGAGCGUUCUGUAAGCCUGUGAAGGUGUGUCGUGAGGCAUGCUGGAGGUAUCAGAAGUGCGAAUGCUGACAUAAGUAACGAUAAAGCGGGUGAAAAGCCCGCUCGCCGGAAGACCAAGGGUUCCUGUCCAACGUUAAUCGGGGCAGGGUGAGUCGACCCCUAAGGCGAGGCCGAAAGGCGUAGUCGAUGGGAAACGGGUUAAUAUUCCCGUACUUGGUGUUACUGCGAAGGGGGGACGGAGAAGGCUAUGUUGGCCGGGCGACGGUUGUCCCGGUUUAAGCGUGUAGGUGUGUGUUCCAGGUAAAUCCGGUUCACUUUAACACUGAGGCGUGACGACGAGGCACUACGGUGCUGAAGCAACAAAUGCCCUGCUUCCAGGAAAAGCCUCUAAGCAUCAGGUAACAUCAAAUCGUACCCCAAACCGACACAGGUGGUCAGGUAGAGAAUACCAAGGCGCUUGAGAGAACUCGGGUGAAGGAACUAGGCAAAAUGGUGCCGUAACUUCGGGAGAAGGCACGCUGACACGUAGGUGAAGUGAUUUACUCAUGGAGCUGAAGUCAGUCGAAGAUACCAGCUGGCUGCAACUGUUUAUUAAAAACACAGCACUGUGCAAACACGAAAGUGGACGUAUACGGUGUGACGCCUGCCCGGUGCCGGAAGGUUAAUUGAUGGGGUCAGCGCAAGCGAAGCUCCUGAUCGAAGCCCCGGUAAACGGCGGCCGUAACUAUAACGGUCCUAAGGUAGCGAAAUUCCUUGUCGGGUAAGUUCCGACCUGCACGAAUGGCGUAAUGAUGGCCAGGCUGUCUCCACCCGAGACUCAGUGAAAUUGAACUCGCUGUGAAGAUGCAGUGUACCCGCGGCAAGACGGAAAGACCCCGUGAACCUUUACUAUAGCUUGACACUGAACAUUGAGCCUUGAUGUGUAGGAUAGGUGGGAGGCUUUGAAGUGUGGACGCCAGUCUGCAUGGAGCCGACCUUGAAAUACCACCCUUUAAUGUUUGAUGUUCUAACGUGGACCCGUUACCCGGGUUGCGGACAGUGUCUGGUGGGUAGUUUGACUGGGGCGGUCUCCUCCUAAAGAGUAACGGAGGAGCACGAAGGUUGGCUAAUCCUGGUCGGACAUCAGGAGGUUAGUGCAAUGGCAUAAGCCAGCUUGACUGCGAGCGUGACGGCGCGAGCAGGUGCGAAAGCAGGUCAUAGUGAUCCGGUGGUUCUGAAUGGAAGGGCCAUCGCUCAACGGAUAAAAGGUACUCCGGGGAUAACAGGCUGAUACCGCCCAAGAGUUCAUAUCGACGGCGGUGUUUGGCACCUCGAUGUCGGCUCAUCACAUCCUGGGGCUGAAGUAGGUCCCAAGGGUAUGGCUGUUCGCCAUUUAAAGUGGUACGCGAGCUGGGUUUAGAACGUCGUGAGACAGUUCGGUCCCUAUCUGCCGUGGGCGCUGGAGAACUGAGGGGGGCUGCUCCUAGUACGAGAGGACCGGAGUGGACGCAUCACUGGUGUUCGGGUUGUCAUGCCAAUGGCACUGCCCGGUAGCUAAAUGCGGAAGAGAUAAGUGCUGAAAGCAUCUAAGCACGAAACUUGCCCCGAGAUGAGUUCUCCCUGAGACUUAGAGUCUCCUGAAGGAACGUUGAAGACGACGACGUUGAUAGGCCGGGUGUGUAAGCGCAGCGAUGCGUUGAGCUAACCGGUACUAAUGAACCGUGAGGCUUAACCUUACAACGCCGAAGAUGUUUUG
This 3064-nucleotide ribosomal RNA is filed under the name Salmonella enterica. RNAcentral describes it as "LSU rRNA". It matches the Rfam family "Bacterial large subunit ribosomal RNA". Lineage: Bacteria; Pseudomonadati; Pseudomonadota; Gammaproteobacteria; Enterobacterales; Enterobacteriaceae. The record is from RNAcentral.